CCACGUCCCGACGCACAACCCCCCCGGCGCCGGGACUUCCCAAAGCCGGGUUCGGCGCCCUCCCCCCGGGCGCCGGACCCGGCUUCCUC
This 89-nucleotide non-coding RNA is filed under the name Streptomyces sp. CB02400. Its description in RNAcentral is "Streptomyces RNA 3202". It matches the Rfam family "Streptomyces RNA 3202". From Rfam's summary of the family: Identified by deep sequencing of transcriptome at the end of exponential growth phase. Appears smaller on northern blot than sequencing transcript. Lineage: Bacteria; Bacillati; Actinomycetota; Actinomycetes; Kitasatosporales; Streptomycetaceae. The record is from Rfam by way of RNAcentral.